UGCCUACGGGAGGCUGCAGUGGGGAAUUUUGGACAAUGGGCGAAAGCCUGAUCCAGCCAUUCCGCGUGCAGGAUGAAGGCCCUCGGGUUGUAAACUGCUUUUGUACAGAACGAAAAAGCUCCGGCUAAUACCUGGAGUCCAUGACGGUACUGUAAGAAUAAGCACCGGCUAACUACGUGCCAGCAGCCGCGGUAAUACGUAGGGUGCGAGCGUUAAUCGGAAUUACUGGGCGUAAAGCGUGCGCAGGCGGUGAUGCAAGACAGAUGUGAAAGCCCCGGGCUCAACCUGGGAACUGCAUUUGUGACUGCAUCGCUGGAGUGCGGCAGAGGGGGAUGGAAUUCCGCGUGUAGCAGUGAAAUGCGUAGAUAUGCGGAGGAACACCGAUGGCGAAGGCAAUCCCCUGGGCCUGCACUGACGCUCAUGCACGAAAGCGUGGGGAGCAAACAGGAUUAGAUACCCCGGUAGUCAU
Molecule: ribosomal RNA, 469 nt
Filed under: uncultured Hylemonella sp.
Lineage: Bacteria; Pseudomonadati; Pseudomonadota; Betaproteobacteria; Burkholderiales; Comamonadaceae
Description: bacterial SSU rRNA
Rfam family: Bacterial small subunit ribosomal RNA
Source: RNAcentral